This 1371-nucleotide ribosomal RNA is filed under the name uncultured eukaryote. RNAcentral's name for it is "SSU rRNA". It matches the Rfam family "Eukaryotic small subunit ribosomal RNA", at positions 83 to 1472 of the family's 1831-position model. The record is from RNAcentral.
GAAACUGCCGAAUAGGCUCUAUUCAAAUCAGUUGAUCGUUUGAUUUAGAUAAGUGACCCUCACUUACUAUUGGUAUGACGUGUGGUAAUUCUUUUGGGGGGGGGAUGCGCAAAACCCCGACUUCGGAAGGGGUGUAUUUAUUAGAUAAAAAACCAAUGCCCUUCGGGGCUCCUUGGUGAUUCAUAAUAACUUCACGAAUCGCAUGGCCUUGCGCCGGCGAUGGUUCAUUCAAAUUUCUGCCCUAUCAACUUUCGGGGGGGGGAUAGUGGCCUACCAUGGUGGCAACGGGUAACGGGGAAUUAGGGUUCGAUUCCGGAGAGGGAGCCUGAGAAACGGCUACCACAUCCAAGGAAGGCAGCAGGCGCGCAAAUUACCCAAUCCCGAUACGGGGAGGUAGUGACAAUAAAUACUGAUACAGGGCUCUUUUGGGUCUUGUAAUUGGAAUGAGAACAAUCUAAACACCUUAACGAGGAACAAUUGGAGGGCAAGUCUGGUGCCAGCAGCCGCGGUAAUUCCAGCUCCAAUAGCGUAUAUUAAAGUUGUUGCAGUUAAAAAGCUCGUAGUUGAACCUUGGGCCCGUCCUGCCGGUCCGCCUCUCCGCGAGUACUGGCCCGUAUGGGCCUUUCUUUCUGGGGAAUCCCAUGGCCUUCACUGGCUGUGGUGGGGAACCAGGACUUUUACUGUGAAAAAAUUAGAGUGUUCAAAGCAGGCCUUUGCUCGGAUACAUUAGCAUGGAAUAAUAGAAUAGGACGUGCGGUUCUAUUUUGUUGGUUUCUAGGACCGCCGUAAUGAUUAAUAGGGAUAGUCGGGGGCGUCAGUAUUCAGCUGUCAGAGGUGAAAUUCUUGGAUUUGCUGAAGACUAACUACUGCGAAAGCAUUCGCCAAGGAUGUUUCCAUUAAUCAGGGAACGAAAGUUAGGGGAUCGAAGACGAUCAGAUACCGUCGUAGUCUUAACCAUAAACUAUGCCGACUAGGGAUCGGGCGGGGUUUCUAUGAUGACCCGCUCGGCACCUUACGAGAAAUCAAAGUUUUUGGGUUCUGGGGGGAGUAUGGUCGCAAGGCUGAAACUUAAAGAAAUUGACGGAAGGGCACCACAAGGCGUGGACUGCGGCUUAAUUUGACUCAACACGGGGAAACUCACCAGGUCCAGACAAAAUAAGGAUUGACAGAUUGAGAGCUCUUUCUUGAUCUUUCGGAUGGUGGUGCAUGGCCGUUCUUAGUUGGUGGAGUGAUUUGUCUGCUUAAUUGCGAUAACGAACGAGACCUCGGCCCUUAAAUAGCCCGGUCCGCGUUUGCGGGCCGCUGGCUUCUUAGGGGGACUCCCCACCCAAACCGAUGGAAGUACGUGGCAAUAACAGGUCUGUGAUGCCC